CGCCAGACUCCUACGGGAGGCAGCAGUGGGGAAUAUUGCACAAUGGGGGAAACCCUGAUGCAGCGACGCCGCGUGAGUGAAGAAGUAUUUCGGUAUGUAAAGCUCUAUCAGCAGGGAAGAAAAUGACGGUACCUGACUAAGAAGCCCCGGCUAACUACGUGCCAGCAGCCGCGGUAAUACGUAGGGGGCAAGCGUUAUCCGGAUUUACUGGGUGUAAAGGGAGCGUAGACGGCAUGGCAAGUCAGAUGUGAAAGCCCGGGGCUCAACCCCGGGACUGCAUUUGAAACUGUCAGGCUGGAGUGCAGGAGAGGUAAGUGGAAUUCCUAGUGUAGCGGUGAAAUGCGUAGAUAUUAGGAGGAACACCAGUGGCGAAGGCGGCUUACUGGACUGUAACUGACGUUGAGGCUCGAAAGCGUGGAGAGCAAACAGGAUUAGAUACCCGUGUA
This 446-nucleotide ribosomal RNA is filed under the name uncultured bacterium. RNAcentral describes it as "bacterial SSU rRNA". It matches the Rfam family "Bacterial small subunit ribosomal RNA", at positions 329 to 792 of the family's 1533-position model. The record is from RNAcentral.